RNAcentral lists this ribosomal RNA (253 nucleotides) under uncultured bacterium. RNAcentral's name for it is "partial 16S ribosomal RNA". It matches the Rfam family "Bacterial small subunit ribosomal RNA", at positions 524 to 776 of the family's 1533-position model. The record is from RNAcentral.
UACGGAGGAUCCAAGCGUUAUCCGGAAUCAUUGGGUUUAAAGGGUCCGUAGGCGGUUUUGUAAGUCAGUGGUGAAAGCCCAUCGCUCAACGGUGGAACGGCCAUUGAUACUGCAAGACUUGAAUUACUAGGAAGUAACUAGAAUAUGUAGUGUAGCGGUGAAAUGCUUAGAGAUUACAUGGAAUACCAAUUGCGAAGGCAGGUUACUACUAGUGGAUUGACGCUGAUGGACGAAAGCGUGGGGAGCAAACAGG